CCUGCGAUAGCUCAGUUGGUAGAGCGGAGGACUGUAGAUUUAUAAUUGGGAUCUCUAGGUCGCUGGUUCGAAUCCUGCUCGAAGGA
Molecule: non-coding RNA, 86 nt
Organism: Nematostella vectensis (starlet sea anemone)
Lineage: Eukaryota; Metazoa; Cnidaria; Anthozoa; Actiniaria; Edwardsiidae
Source: Rfam